AUGUUAUAAAGAAAGGCAGAGGGAUUAGACCCGAUGAAGCCUUAGCAACCCUUCGAUUUAUCGAAGAAGGUGCUGCAUUCUACCACGCCUAUCGUGGAAAGAUAACAC
Regulatory RNA element from Flavobacterium sp. FPG59, 108 nucleotides. It matches the Rfam family "SAM riboswitch aptamer (S box leader)". From Rfam's summary of the family: The SAM riboswitch is found upstream of a number of genes which code for proteins involved in methionine or cysteine biosynthesis in Gram-positive bacteria. The SAM riboswitch acts at the level of transcription termination control. The record is from Rfam. Lineage: Bacteria; Pseudomonadati; Bacteroidota; Flavobacteriia; Flavobacteriales; Flavobacteriaceae.